GGGAUAUUGCUCAAUGGGCGCAAGCCUGAAGCAGCGACGCCGCGUGGGUGAUGAAGGUCUUCGGAUCGUAAAACCCUUUUACAGGUGACGAGGAAGGACGGUAGCCUGUGAAGAAGUGUCGGCUAACUACGUGCCAGCAGCCGCGGUAAAACGUAGGACGCAAGCGUUAUCCGGAAUUACUGGGCGUAAAGCGCGUGUAGGUGGUUGCAUAAGUCACUGUUGAAAGCUCCUGGCUAAACUGGGAGAGGUGCGGUGAGACUGUGCGGCUAGAGUAUGGGAGAGGGAUGCAGAAUUCCGGGUGUAGUGGUGAAAUGCGUAGAGAUCCGGAGGAAUACCAGAGGCGAAGGCGGCAUCCUGGCCUAAAACUGACACUGAGACGCGAAAGCAUGGGGAGCGAAC
This 399-nucleotide ribosomal RNA is filed under the name uncultured bacterium. RNAcentral's name for it is "bacterial SSU rRNA". It matches the Rfam family "Bacterial small subunit ribosomal RNA", at positions 358 to 773 of the family's 1533-position model. The record is from RNAcentral.